Molecule: ribosomal RNA, 756 nt
Filed under: Escherichia coli
Lineage: Bacteria; Pseudomonadati; Pseudomonadota; Gammaproteobacteria; Enterobacterales; Enterobacteriaceae
Description: partial 23S ribosomal RNA
Rfam family: Bacterial large subunit ribosomal RNA
Source: RNAcentral
AAGGUUGGGUAACACUAACUGGAGGACCGAACCCACUGUCGUUGAAAAGCCAGGGGAUGACUUGUGGAUAGGGGUGAAAGGCUAAUCAAACUCGGUGAUAGCUGGUUCUCCCCGAAAGCUAUUUAGGUAGCGCCUCGGACGAAUACCAUUGGGGGUAGAGCACUGUUUCGGCUAGGGGGUCAUCCCGACUUACCAAACCGAUGCAAACUCCGAAUACCAAUGAGUACUAUCCGGGAGACAGACUGCGGGUGCUAACGUCCGUAGUCAAGAGGAAAACAAUCCAGACCGCCAGCUAAGGUCCCUAAAUCAUAGUUAAGUGGGAAACGAUGUGGGAAGGCAUAGACAGCUAGGAGGUUGGCUUAGAAGCAGCCACCCUUUAAAGAAAGCGUAAUAGCUCACUAGUCGAGUCGGCCUGCGCGGAAGAUGUAACGGGGCUAAAACUAUGUACCGAAGCUGCGGAUUUGCAAUUUAUUGCAAGUGGUAGGGGAGCGUUCUGUAAGCCGAUGAAGGUGGAUUGAGAAGUCUGCUGGAGGUAUCAGAAGUGCGAAUGCUGACGUGAGUAACGACAAAACGGGUGAAAAACCCGUUCGCUGAAAGACCAAGGGUUCCAGUCCAACGUUAAUCGGGGCUGGGUGAGUCGACCCCUAAGGCGAGGCCGAGAGGCGUAGUCGAUGGGAAAUUGGUUAAUAUUCCAAUACUUCAGUGUAAUGCGAUGAGAGGACGGAGAAGGUUAAGUCAGCCUGGCGUUGGUUGUCC